This 2903-nucleotide ribosomal RNA is filed under the name Escherichia coli KTE182. Its description in RNAcentral is "bacterial LSU rRNA". It matches the Rfam family "Bacterial large subunit ribosomal RNA". The record is from RNAcentral. Lineage: Bacteria; Pseudomonadati; Pseudomonadota; Gammaproteobacteria; Enterobacterales; Enterobacteriaceae.
UUAAGCGACUAAGCGUACACGGUGGAUGCCCUGGCAGUCAGAGGCGAUGAAGGACGUGCUAAUCUGCGAUAAGCGUCGGUGAGGUGAUAUGAACCGUUAUAACCGGCGAUUUCCGAAUGGGGAAACCCAGUGUGUUUCGACACACUAUCAUUAACUGAAUCCAUAGGUUAAUGAGGCGAACCGGGGGAACUGAAACAUCUAAGUACCCCGAGGAAAAGAAAUCAACCGAGAUUCCCCCAGUAGCGGCGAGCGAACGGGGAGGAGCCCAGAGCCUGAAUCAGUGUGUGUGUUAGUGGAAGCGUCUGGAAAGGCGCGCGAUACAGGGUGACAGCCCCGUACACAAAAAUGCACAUAUUGUGAGCUCGAUGAGUAGGGCGGGACACGUGGUAUCCUGUCUGAAUAUGGGGGGACCAUCCUCCAAGGCUAAAUACUCCUGACUGACCGAUAGUGAACCAGUACCGUGAGGGAAAGGCGAAAAGAACCCCGGCGAGGGGAGUGAAAAAGAACCUGAAACCGUGUACGUACAAGCAGUGGGAGCCUCUUAAUGGGGUGACUGCGUACCUUUUGUAUAAUGGGUCAGCGACUUAUAUUCUGUAGCAAGGUUAACCGAAUAGGGGAGUCGAAGGGAAACCGAGUCUUAACUGGGCGUUAAGUUGCAGGGUAUAGACCCGAAACCCGGUGAUCUAGCCAUGGGCAGGUUGAAGGUUGGGUAACACUAACUGGAGGACCGAACCGACUAAUGUUGAAAAAUUAGCGGAUGACUUGUGGCUGGGGGUGAAAGGCCAAUCAAACCGGGAGAUAGCUGGUUCUCCCCGAAAGCUAUUUAGGUAGCGCCUCGUGAAUUCAUCUCCGGGGGUAGAGCACUGUUUCGGCAAGGGGGUCAUCCCGACUUACCAACCCGAUGCAAACUGCGAAUACCGGAGAAUGUUAUCACGGGAGACACACGGCGGGUGCUAACGUCCGUCGUGAAGAGGGAAACAACCCAGACCGCCAGCUAAGGUCCCAAAGUCAUGGUUAAGUGGGAAACGAUGUGGGAAGGCCCAGACAGCCAGGAUGUUGGCUUAGAAGCAGCCAUCAUUUAAAGAAAGCGUAAUAGCUCACUGGUCGAGUCGGCCUGCGCGGAAGAUGUAACGGGGCUAAACCAUGCACCGAAGCUGCGGCAGCGACGCUUAUGCGUUGUUGGGUAGGGGAGCGUUCUGUAAGCCUGUGAAGGUGGCCUGUGAGGGUUGCUGGAGGUAUCAGAAGUGCGAAUGCUGACAUAAGUAACGAUAAAGCGGGUGAAAAGCCCGCUCGCCGGAAGACCAAGGGUUCCUGUCCAACGUUAAUCGGGGCAGGGUGAGUCGACCCCUAAGGCGAGGCCGAAAGGCGUAGUCGAUGGGAAACAGGUUAAUAUUCCUGUACUUGGUGUUACUGCGAAGGGGGGACGGAGAAGGCUAUGUUGGCCGGGCGACGGUUGUCCCGGUUUAAGCGUGUAGGCUGGUUUUCCAGGCAAAUCCGGAAAACCAAGGCUGAGGCGUGAUGACGAGGCACUACGGUGCUGAAGCGACAAAUGCCCUGCUUCCAGGAAAAGCCUCUAAGCAUCAGGUAACAUCAAAUCGUACCCCAAACCGACACAGGUGGUCAGGUAGAGAAUACCAAGGCGCUUGAGAGAACUCGGGUGAAGGAACUAGGCAAAAUGGUGCCGUAACUUCGGGAGAAGGCACGCUGAUAUGUAGGUGAAGCGACUUGCUCGUGGAGCUGAAAUCAGUCGAAGAUACCAGCUGGCUGCAACUGUUUAUUAAAAACACAGCACUGUGCAAACACGAAAGUGGACGUAUACGGUGUGACGCCUGCCCGGUGCCGGAAGGUUAAUUGAUGGGGUUAGCGGUAACGCGAAGCUCUUGAUCGAAGCCCCGGUAAACGGCGGCCGUAACUAUAACGGUCCUAAGGUAGCGAAAUUCCUUGUCGGGUAAGUUCCGACCUGCACGAAUGGCGUAAUGAUGGCCAGGCUGUCUCCACCCGAGACUCAGUGAAAUUGAACUCGCUGUGAAGAUGCAGUGUACCCGCGGCAAGACGGAAAGACCCCGUGAACCUUUACUAUAGCUUGACACUGAACAUUGAGCCUUGAUGUGUAGGAUAGGUGGGAGGCUUUGAAGUGUGGACGCCAGUCUGCAUGGAGCCGACCUUGAAAUACCACCCUUUAAUGUUUGAUGUUCUAACGUUGGCCCGUAAUCCGGGUUGCGGACAGUGUCUGGUGGGUAGUUUGACUGGGGCGGUCUCCUCCUAAAGAGUAACGGAGGAGCACGAAGGUUGGCUAAUCCUGGUCGGACAUCAGGAGGUUAGUGCAAUGGCAUAAGCCAGCUUGACUGCGAGCGUGACGGCGCGAGCAGGUGCGAAAGCAGGUCAUAGUGAUCCGGUGGUUCUGAAUGGAAGGGCCAUCGCUCAACGGAUAAAAGGUACUCCGGGGAUAACAGGCUGAUACCGCCCAAGAGUUCAUAUCGACGGCGGUGUUUGGCACCUCGAUGUCGGCUCAUCACAUCCUGGGGCUGAAGUAGGUCCCAAGGGUAUGGCUGUUCGCCAUUUAAAGUGGUACGCGAGCUGGGUUUAGAACGUCGUGAGACAGUUCGGUCCCUAUCUGCCGUGGGCGCUGGAGAACUGAGGGGGGCUGCUCCUAGUACGAGAGGACCGGAGUGGACGCAUCACUGGUGUUCGGGUUGUCAUGCCAAUGGCACUGCCCGGUAGCUAAAUGCGGAAGAGAUAAGUGCUGAAAGCAUCUAAGCACGAAACUUGCCCCGAGAUGAGUUCUCCCUGAGACUUAGAGUCUCCUGAAGGAACGUUGAAGACGACGACGUUGAUAGGCCGGGUGUGUAAGCGCAGCGAUGCGUUGAGCUAACCGGUACUAAUGAACCGUGAGGCUUAACCUU